This 99-nucleotide signal recognition particle RNA is filed under the name Treponema sp. RNAcentral describes it as "signal recognition particle sRNA small type". It matches the Rfam family "Bacterial small signal recognition particle RNA". From Rfam's summary of the family: The signal recognition particle (SRP) is a universally conserved ribonucleoprotein involved in the co-translational targeting of proteins to membranes. Archaeal SRP consists of a 7S RNA and homologues of the eukaryotic SRP19 and SRP54 proteins. In most bacteria, the SRP consists of a 4.5S RNA and the Ffh protein (a homologue of the eukaryotic SRP54 protein). Lineage: Bacteria; Pseudomonadati; Spirochaetota; Spirochaetia; Treponematales; Treponemataceae. The record is from RNAcentral.
AAUCAGGAGACAUGCGUGUAAGCGCCGCUCAACCCCGCCAGGUUCGGAAGGAAGCAACGGUCGGCGGAGGCUUAUAGCGCCGUGUUCAUCUUGUUUACA